GGGGGCGUACUGGUUUCGACAGGGGUAGGUAGGGUCAAACAAGCGAGCCGGGAUUCCAUCAGCCCGUUAAUACGGUGGAAAAAAACAAACGCAAACGAAGAAUACGCUUUAGCAGCUUAAAUUGCUAACGUCCUUUUUAUGUAAUCCUGCGGCAUAAAAUAGGGCGUCACUUAGCGGGAUACCUGCGGUUUGUCUCCCGGAAAACCGUUAGGGAAAUUUAUCGGGAUAGCUUUGAGGGCAGCUUGUCUGUAAGCGGUCAGAAAAGCGAAACUUUAAACUACAGACUGCGCUCGGAGAAAAUUUGGCAAUAAUACUUUUGGACAGGGGUUCGACUCCCCUCGCCUCCACCA
This 350-nucleotide transfer-messenger RNA is filed under the name Sporomusaceae bacterium. It matches the Rfam family "transfer-messenger RNA". Rfam says of the family: Bacterial tmRNA, also known as 10Sa RNA or SsrA, is named for its dual tRNA and mRNA-like properties. Its role is to liberate the mRNA from a stalled ribosome. To accomplish this part of the tmRNA is used as a reading frame that ends in a translation stop signal. The record is from RNAcentral. Lineage: Bacteria; Bacillati; Bacillota; Negativicutes; Selenomonadales; Sporomusaceae.